This is a long non-coding RNA of Centruroides sculpturatus (bark scorpion), 676 nucleotides long. RefSeq lists it as uncharacterized. The transcript has 3 exons. The record is from RefSeq and is a predicted model, not a curated record. Lineage: Eukaryota; Metazoa; Arthropoda; Arachnida; Scorpiones; Buthidae.
UUUUUGUGGAACCUGCUAAAGGCGCAAAAUUUUGGAAAUGCUCCCUUAGAAAGCUGCCCGAUUAUCACCGUACAUUUUUCGAACAAUUAGCUGAUUAUGUGAUUACCAAGAAAGGAUUCUCAAAUAGAAACAGAGCUUUAGUGUAGUUCUCGUGCACCUAUGCUUCUCUAUUAGGAAAGGUUGUACACUGUUUUCAAAUGAAACGUUUGGUAAGAUAAAAUUGUCUAAUAUGUACCAUAUAAUACCAAAUGCCAAAUAACCAAAACUAUGAAGGUGAAGAUAUGCCUAAUCUGGGUGCAGAAACGGUUACCGAUUAGACCACUACAAGUAGGCCUACUCAUUCAGUUUUUAGUCAUGUCUCUCCCAUAGAAAUAAUGUCAAUUCCACAUGUUGAAAUUAAGAAAAAAAUCGAAAAUAGCAGGAGAGGGAAAGCAGCAAUCCUAACAGAUACACCGUAGAAGCAGCAGCUGAUGGAACAACACAAACGAUCAACAGCAGUUUCUGCACCCCAGGAAUACGGUCUUUGUUUACCGAAAAAAUUCCGUAAAAUCAAAACAGCAAGGGUAUGCCUAACACGAAACAAAAGACAAAUGACACAGAAUGCCUCUAUUUUGGAGGGUUAUACUGUGUAUCCACAGAGAGUUGGGCUAAAUGUAGCCGUUGUGAUAAAUGGGCA